This 96-nucleotide small RNA is filed under the name Salmonella enterica subsp. salamae. RNAcentral describes it as "partial RtT sRNA". It matches the Rfam family "RtT RNA", at positions 41 to 130 of the family's 130-position model. Rfam says of the family: This family represents a bacterial cis-regulatory element known as RtT RNA. The record is from RNAcentral. Lineage: Bacteria; Pseudomonadati; Pseudomonadota; Gammaproteobacteria; Enterobacterales; Enterobacteriaceae.
GUUCGGUGGAAACGAGAAUAAAACGUGAAGGAUAACGUUGCGUCAGCAACGGCCCGUAGGGCGAGGCGAAGCCGAUUCAUCCUGCACGACCCACCA